GUGUCAGGUAAAAACGCUUGCUUUUUGUACAGUGUUUAACAGCAAGUUUAAUUUCAGAAUCAUAACACUGUAGCUUAUUUGAAAUCCUCUUUGUUUAUACUUUCCUCCCAAUGCUUGCUCACUUGUAACUGGCUCAUGUUAGUCACGCACACUCACCCCAGAGAAAAUAUGUACUCAGAUUGCUAAACAUGGCUGGAAAACACUUUUUUCUUGCCUUUUUUUUUUUUUUUUUGGCCAGUAAAAUGUUCCCAGUCAUCUUUGGCUCUUGUACUUUCCUCAAUGGUCUUUUACAGUUUUCCCAAGAACACAACCACCUGGGAAGGCAAAGGAGAGGGUUCAACUCGGAGAUCAUGGAGCAAUUCACCCAUUUCCGGGAACAUCGACAACCCAGGAGGCAGCCCCUGGCGAGGAGAGCACCUUUCCGGAAGAUGCGUUCCUGAGCUUAGAACAGGCUGUUACUGUGGUUCUCACGACCCUCCUGUAAGAUGUCACAGCAUGCCAAGACAUAGGCUCCUUCUCUUGCAUGAGGCAGCUUCCACAGACAGAUGUGGUAACCAGACUUCUGGCUUGAACAACAGCCCUGUUUAUAAAAAGCUUCCAAAAAACACCUGAGUGUGCUCAGGAUUUAUUGGUUUUUUUCCUAUUUUGUAGGGAACAACUUCUUUUUAUCAGGAGAGGAUCUUUUCUUUUCUAGAAAUAAUGUUCUUUGGUUUCUGCUAUGUUUGAAUGCCUUCCCCACCCCCAAUUCUUAUGUUAGAACUGUAAUCUGUAUCAAUAGAUACUGAUGGUAUUUGGAGGUGGGGCCUUUGGAGGAAAUUAGGAUUAAAUGAAGUAAUGAGGAAGGGGCCCCAUAGCAGCAUACAUAAGUGGUUUUAUAUGAAGAUGAGGAGACACCCAAGCUAGCAUGCUCUCUGGCAUUUUAC
RNAcentral lists this long non-coding RNA (923 nucleotides) under Ictidomys tridecemlineatus (thirteen-lined ground squirrel). RNAcentral's name for it is "lncRNA (ENSSTOG00000034906.1)". Lineage: Eukaryota; Metazoa; Chordata; Mammalia; Rodentia; Sciuridae. The record is from RNAcentral.